This 74-nucleotide transfer RNA is filed under the name Deltaproteobacteria bacterium. RNAcentral describes it as "tRNA-Cys". It matches the Rfam family "tRNA". Rfam says of the family: Transfer RNA (tRNA) molecules are approximately 80 nucleotides in length. Their secondary structure includes four short double-helical elements and three loops (D, anti-codon, and T loops). The record is from RNAcentral. Lineage: Bacteria; Pseudomonadati; Myxococcota; Myxococcia.
GGCGGCGUACCCAAGUGGCAAGGAGCAGUCUGCAAAACUGCCAUCCAGCAGUUCAGAACCGCUCGCCGCCUCCA